RNAcentral lists this ribosomal RNA (566 nucleotides) under uncultured bacterium. RNAcentral's name for it is "bacterial SSU rRNA". It matches the Rfam family "Bacterial small subunit ribosomal RNA", at positions 124 to 685 of the family's 1533-position model. The record is from RNAcentral.
AUCUGCCUGGUAGUGGGGGAUAACGUCCGGAAACGGACGCUAAUACCGCAUACGUCCUACGGGAGAAAGCAGGGGACCUUCGGGCCUUGCGCUAUCAGAUGAGCCUAGGUCGGAUUAGCUAGUUGGUGGGGUAAUGGCUCACCAAGGCGACGAUCCGUAACUGGUCUGAGAGGAUGAUCAGUCACACUGGAACUGAGACACGGUCCAGACUCCUACGGGAGGCAGCAGUGGGGAAUAUUGGACAAUGGGCGAAAGCCUGAUCCAGCCAUGCCGCGUGUGUGAAGAAGGUCUUCGGAUUGUAAAGCACUUUAAGUUGGGAGGAAGGGCAGUAAAUUAAUACUUUGCUGUUUUGACGUUACCGACAGAAUAAGCACCGGCUAACUCUGUGCCAGCAGCCGCGGUAAUACAGAGGGUGCAAGCGUUAAUCGGAAUUACUGGGCGUAAAGCGCGCGUAGGUGGUUCGUUAAGUUGGAUGUGAAAUCCCCGGGCUCAACCUGGGAACUGCAUUCAAAACUGACGAGCUAGAGUAUGGUAGAGGGUGGUGGAAUUUCCUGUGUAGCGGUGAA